GUCGUACGAGAGUUUUUAACUCUAGUGGCGGACGGGUGAGUAACACGUGCAGAAUUUACCUUUAGGAGGGGGAUAACAGCGUAUCAAUAGAUAUUACGGAAACGGCUGCUAAUACCCCAUAUGCUUUUGAGUGAAAUAGAUUUAUCUGCCUAAAGAGAAGCUCGCGGCUGAUUAGCUUGUUGGUAAGGUAAUGGCUUACCAAGGCGACGAUCAGUAUCUGGUUUGAGAGGACGAUCAGACACACUGGAACUGAGACACGGUCCAGACUCCUACGGGAGGCAGCAGUGGGGAAUUUUCCGCAAUGGGCGAAAGCCUGACGGAGCAAUACCGCGUGAGGGAAGACGGCCUAUGGGUUGUAAACCUCUUUUUUUCAGGGAGGAAUUCAAUGACGUGUACCUGAGGAAUAAGCAUCGGCUAACUCCGUG
RNAcentral lists this ribosomal RNA (425 nucleotides) under uncultured bacterium. RNAcentral describes it as "bacterial SSU rRNA". It matches the Rfam family "Bacterial small subunit ribosomal RNA", at positions 61 to 507 of the family's 1533-position model. The record is from RNAcentral.